GCCUCGAUAGCUCAGCUGGUAGAGCGUUACCUUGGUAAGGUAAAGGUCAGGGGUUCAAACCCCCUUCGGGGCUCCA
This 76-nucleotide transfer RNA is filed under the name Candidatus Heimdallarchaeota archaeon. Its description in RNAcentral is "tRNA-Thr". It matches the Rfam family "tRNA". From Rfam's summary of the family: Transfer RNA (tRNA) molecules are approximately 80 nucleotides in length. The record is from RNAcentral. RNAcentral also lists the same sequence under 1 other name. Lineage: Archaea; Promethearchaeati; Candidatus Heimdallarchaeota.